Molecule: non-coding RNA, 82 nt
Organism: Ceratobasidium sp. 423
Lineage: Eukaryota; Fungi; Basidiomycota; Agaricomycetes; Cantharellales; Ceratobasidiaceae
Source: the annotation of a GenBank genome assembly
CCCUUGGUAGCUCAGCUGGAAGAGCGCAAGACUGUAAUUGGAAAUUAUCUUGAGGCCAUCAGUUCGAUUCUGAUUCAAGGGA